GCUGGAAAGAAGACAGAAAACAGCGACCCUUAAUAUCCCAGGACCCAGCACAGCGGUCCCAAGCUCCUCCUCCCUUGGGAGCAGCUUAAAGAGCACAGCAGAGAGCUCUCCUGGUGGCUGACUUCAGAAACCACCAGCAGGUCCCUGGCUCUUCCAGUUCCUUAUCAGAUAAGUCAAGAUCACCGGUUACCUCAGACACCAACAAUGCUCCUUUUGUUCAGUCCCUGCUGUCACAUGUAUGGUCACAGAAGAGGCCCUAUUUUGGGAAGAGAGACAGAACUGGUUUUCCCACGGCAACUUCAGGUGAUCUGAUGCUCUCUUCUGACAUCAGAGAGCAUCCACACAUGUGUGCACAUACUCACACAUACACAUACAUAAAUAAAAAUACUAUUUGAAAAAGAAUGAAUUCUAACCAAGGUUUCUACCACCUUGAGCAAGCCUUCUUAUCCAUGAUCUAGGUCAGUGGUUCUCAACCUUCCCAAUGCUGUGGCCUUGAAUACAGUUCCUCAUGUUGUGACUCCUCAACCAUAAAAUUAAACUACUCCUUAACUGUAAUUUUGCCAUCAUGAAUCAAAAUGUAAACAUCUGUUUUCUGAUGAUCUUAGGUGAUCCUGGGGAAGGGUCAUUUGACCCCCAAAGGGGUCAUGACCCACAAGUUGAGAACCGCUGGUCUCAGCGACUCCCGAGGGGCUCACAUUCACCUCUGUAUUCUUGGUCUUUGUUGGGCUUCCAGGGCCUUGGCUGUCAUGGCUCUUUGGCAAACAGGCUCCAGGAGUGUGGGGCUGUGUGGAUGACAUGGAAGUGUUUCUGAGUACUCCUUCCCAUCACAUCUGGCUGUGCUCUGGGGGCUGGGGUGUAACCUGAGUGCCUGUGUACUUGCUCUGGCCUUCACCCCCCAUGUACACACUUGCACACACAUGCACAAGUAUAAAGGAAAAGAGGAGCCAUACAGCAGACACUGCUGUCCUCUGGGCCCGGGCUUGUUUGCUGCAAGGUUGCUUGGAGGCAUGAAUGCUCUGACAAGCAGUUGAGGGCUAUCAUUUAGUCCAGCCUACAGGAGACUGGAACGAAACAUUGCUUGGCCAAGGAUAUCCCCAUCACCCCAAGGCCAUCUUACAACCACAGCUGCAGACUUUCUCCUUCCUCCCAUGGGUUCCGUUAUGGUGAGACCACUCCAAAUCCUAGCUGGAAUAACCGUCUUGUAGCAAGGCACCAUCUGGUGGGUCUGUGUGCCUUACAGCAGCAAGACAAGACAAGCUUUGCUGCAGCCAUUACUUCAACUGGACAGUGUUUUCUGGAACUGGCUCAGUUCCUGGCAAGGACAAGGGUUGAGUACAUACGAACACAGUUCUCUCAUUGUCUAGUUUUGUCUGUGCCUUACGCUGUCUGGGCAUUAGUCACCUUUGGGGCUUUAACACUAAGUAGUGCUCUGAGCCCAGGCUGUGUCAGUUCUGCUCUAGACAUAAGAAUUGUAUAAAACUGCAUGGCAGGAGUGUGUAGAGAGGUACCUUUGUCAUCCACUGGCCUGUAAGGCAUCCCUGACAAACUCACAGUAUGCAUCAAGACAAUAUGAGUAUAAUAAUAUGUACGAUAAAACUCACAUUACCCAUCACCUUGAACAAGUCAUUUCUAGGUCUAUUGGUGCCAUCCCAUUUUGGGGGCAGUCUUAAAUCUCCCUGAAAAAAUCACAUAAAAUAUGCUUCAAGAGCAGUCAGCAGCCUUGGGAGUUGGGUCUAGGUCAGAGCUUGUGCCAGUGGUGGCUUCUAAUAAUGUGAGGCUGUGCUGCAUGACUGUCCCCUCAAGAGAGAGAAGAGGAAGAUGGUAAUGUGCUCCGAAUCCUGGCUGUGGCUCGGUCAAGGGAAACAUGGAAAGAACUUUUACCACACAAAUUUAUUUAAAUAAAAGUGAACACAUACGCAGGCUAGUGCCCAAGGGGCAAAGGUGGGGGGUGGAGGAUGGGGGACAGACAGAAAAUGGGGGCCAGGCAGAGUCUGUGUGGUGUAACCAGGCUGCAGGAGGGAGUGGGGAGGAAGCCUCGGGGCAGUGCUGGGCUUUGGUGCUGAGGCGGGGCCUUGGGUGGGUGGAGCCAGUGCCACAAGGCCAUUUCUACCCCUCACAAUGUCCCCUCUCUCCCUGGACUCACAGCACUGCCUCCUCAGCCCCCAUCCCUGUCCUCAUACUAGCUUUCCCCUCGACUACCGAGAGAAGUCAAGAGACAACAUAAAUAAGAAUUGAUGAGUCCUGCCCCAGUCUUGGCUAGAGGUAAGGGAGCCAGGCCAGGAAGACUGCCCCGAGCCCUGCUGUCAGCCCUGGGAAAGAACAGGUAAAGUGCAAGGAGAAUCCAGUGAGUAAAAAUAUACCAAUGACUUUGUCAAAUAUACAGCUGCUGGCUGUCAGGGGGCAGGUGGCUGGCUUGUGGGUGACAGCAGCACCCUGGAAAGUGUUGGCCAACACAGCGUAGAGACAACGGAAAUAAAUAGGAGUGGGGAGUGGACGGGGUCCUGGAAGUCCCCUGGGCCAGUGCCACGUGAGGGACCCAGUCAGGGCCUUGUCCUCUCACCUGCCCAACCCCCCGGGCCCCACCUGCCGGCUCCCAGUGCUACGGCACUGAUACAAAGCACCCCGCGGGCUGACUGGCUGUAAGGAAAGGACUUAUAAUGUGGGGUGGGCAUGGGGUGGGGGCAGGGAAGCCACAGUCAGUCAGGGCUGGCGCUGCCCUCAGUACUCGUCCUGGUCUUCCUGUUGGUGUUCUUCAAUCUCAUCGUCCUCAGGGGGUGCAAAUCCCUCCUGGAGGUGGGGAGAGAGAAACAGUGAGCCAGCUGGCCAAGCUGAGGGAUCAGGUUCCACACGCGGUCUAAGUGGUCACGGGUUCAGAGGUCUAGCUGCUUUCCAGUCUUGGCAGAGCCAUGGAAGGGAGUUGAGGAGGGGCUCACCUCGGUGGCAUAGAGAAUGCCAAUGAUGCCCGAGAUGACAGGGCUAUUUUCGCUUUCAUGUUCCUGGCAGAUCAGCUCGAUGUCACGCAAUUUGCUGAAAUAGAAGUCUCUUUCUUUCUCCAGCCCAUCCACCGUCAGCUUCAAGUCCAGCAGCUGCUUGGGCAGAAAGAAAUGUUUGUGCCAGAUGUUCCUGCCUCUGGCGCUUCUGCCCGCCUUCCUCUUGCCCCAGUACCAACCACCCUUGCCCAUCCUGCUCACUUGCUGGUUGAGCUCAAGAAUCUGGGCAUCAGCCUCAUGACCACCGUUUCGGGCUGAUGGGGGAUUCUUCCGGAGGAUGCAGGGUGGAGCCACAUUGCUGAGUCGGCCAGUGGUCUGCAUGUUCUUGGGGCCUGUGGGGGACGUCCUCUGCGGAACUGUCCAGAGGACAAGAGUCAGAUGAGGGGCAGAGCGCAUGAGAGCCUGGCAUGAGGACCAUGCAGCAGCAGGCAGGCACUCUCCCUCGGGAAGAGCAUCUACAGCUAGGCCUCAAGCCUCGGCCACAUGUGACACGGCAGCCACUGCACAGCCCUUUGGCAAGCCUGGGAGUGGAAGCGCCACAGGAAGCUAAGGUCAUCUCAGUAUUGGGACCUGAAGAGAGCUGGCGCCUGAGGGAGGGAUGCAGGACCCGGGAUGGUGCAUUUGAUGAAGUGGAGCUGGGAGGGUUCAGGGCCUUCUGUACUGACAGACGAGACCCAGGAGAGCUGUUGAUGCAGUCUGUCCUAGCAGAAGCCAAAGCCACCCUCAGUGAAAAUCAGCCCCACCCCUCCAGCUGCCUGUCAGUUUGGGCUCUGUCUCCCCCUGCUGGGCUGGACCUGCAUCUGCACAGUGGUGGAGGACUCAGGCUCCUCCCUAGCACUGCCUGCAUGCUGUGGCUUCUAGCUCUUUAGAGACUGCACCUCCCUAGACAGGGGCUGCUCCUAAUGCAAAGCAAGCAUGGGCAGGCCCAGGCAGGACAGCAGCGCAAACGGAGGAGGUGGCUCUGCUAUGACGGGUCAGAUGAGGGUGGGAGCUGCUCCCCUCUUUCUUGCCACACCCUUGCUGUCACCACAGGCCUUACUGCUCCUCUCACACUGCUCCCAGCAACCCAGCAAGGUAUCAGUUCUGGAAACUUAUCUCUGGGCUAUGGGAUUCUGGAACAGGUAAAGGCAGGAUUGAGCUUGGCAAACUCCUGCUUUUGGGUAUCCAGUGGGCAGGGAUACAUACGGGGCUUGGAUACAGGCUGCAGGCGCUCAGCCUGAUGGAGCCAGAGUGGAGCCAUGCCCCAUCCAACUUGAGGCACACACGAUAGACCACAUUAUGCCACAAAGCAUCCUGGGUCUCAGCGAGCUGCCACUAUACCUGGUGCAGGUGGCUCCCCUCUUAGAACAACUUUUGCAGCCCUGUCACCCCAAAAUGGGACUCCCCACCUAGGUAAGCAGCAGGUGAUGUCAUCUGAACUCCGUGAUAACAGUCUCCUCCAGGCUGGCAGGGCUGGGCCGGUGGCCCAGGGGGCACUCCUGGCUGGAUAGCCCUGCCGGCCCAGCCCCCCAAACUCCCUCUACCAGCUUGGGCAUGUUACCUGCUGUGCCAAUGAGUUUCUUGGAUUUGUUGAAGAUCUGAUCACCUGGGUUAGGAGGUGGUGCUACGUCCUGGCCCUGCCGCGCCAGCAGAGGGUUGUAAUCCUUUCCAUCAUAGUUUGCGUCAAAGAAUUUCUUAAACCACUGAAUAAACUCAAAAUUAUCUUGGAA
Molecule: long non-coding RNA, 4699 nt
Organism: Mesocricetus auratus (golden hamster)
Lineage: Eukaryota; Metazoa; Chordata; Mammalia; Rodentia; Cricetidae
Exons: 2
Source: RefSeq, a predicted model, not a curated record